AUACGGAGGGUGCGAGCGUUACUCGGAGUCACUGGGCGUAAAGCGUCCGUAGGCGGUCGGGUAAGUCGGGUGUGAAAGCCCCGGGCUCAACCUGGGAAGUGCACCCGAUACUGCUCGACUCGAGUGCGGGAGAGGAUGGCGGAAUUCCCGGUGUAGCGGUGAACUGCGUAGAGAUCGGGAGGAACACCAGUGGCGAAGGCGGCCAUCUGGCCCGCAACUGACGCUGAGGGACGAAAGCGUGGGGAGCAAACAGGAUUAGAUACCCUAGUAGUCC
RNAcentral lists this ribosomal RNA (274 nucleotides) under uncultured bacterium. Its description in RNAcentral is "partial 16S ribosomal RNA". It matches the Rfam family "Bacterial small subunit ribosomal RNA", at positions 523 to 796 of the family's 1533-position model. The record is from RNAcentral.